RNAcentral lists this ribosomal RNA (451 nucleotides) under uncultured bacterium. RNAcentral describes it as "partial 16S ribosomal RNA". It matches the Rfam family "Bacterial small subunit ribosomal RNA", at positions 354 to 796 of the family's 1533-position model. The record is from RNAcentral.
GUGGGGAAUAUUGGACAAUGGGGGGAACCCUGAUCCAGCCAUGCCGCGUGUGUGAAGAAGGCCUUUUGGUUGUAAAGCACUUUAAGCGAGGAGGAGGCUACCGAGAUUAAUACUCUUGGAUAGUGGACGUUACUCGCAGAAUAAGCACCGGCUAACUCUGUGCCAGCAGCCGCGGUAAUACAGAGGGUGCAAGCGUUAAUCGGAUUUACUGGGCGUAAAGCGCGCGUAGGUGGCCAAUUAAGUCAAAUGUGAAAUCCCCGAGCUUAACUUGGGAAUUGCAUUCGAUACUGGUUGGCUAGAGUAUGGGAGAGGAUGGUAGAAUUCCAGGUGUAGCGGUGAAAUGCGUAGAGAUCUGGAGGAAUACCGAUGGCGAAGGCAGCCAUCUGGCCUAGUACUGACACUGAGGUGCGAAAGCAUGGGGAGCAAACAGGAUUAGAAACCCGUGUAGUCC